UACAGAGGUCUCAAGCGUUGUUCGGAUUCAUUGGGCGUAAAGGGUGCGUAGGCGGCGCGGUAAGCCGGGUGUGAAAUCUCGGAGCUUAACUCCGAAACUGCAUUCGAUACUGCCGUGCUUGAGGACUGGAGAGGAGACUGGAAUUUACGGUGUAGCGGUGAAAUGCGUAGAUAUCGUAAGGAAGACCAGUGGCGAAGGCGGGUCUCUGGACAGUUCCUGACGCUGAGGCACGAAGGCCAGGGGAGCAAACGGG
RNAcentral lists this ribosomal RNA (253 nucleotides) under uncultured bacterium. Its description in RNAcentral is "partial 16S ribosomal RNA". It matches the Rfam family "Bacterial small subunit ribosomal RNA", at positions 524 to 776 of the family's 1533-position model. The record is from RNAcentral.